GCUUGCUUGUUGGGGUUGUAGGACACUCUAUACGGAGUUACAAAGGACGACAUUAGACGAAUCAUCUGGAAAGAUGAAUCAAAGAAGGUAAUAAUCCUGUAGUCGAAAAUGUUGUCUCUCUUGAGUGGAUCCUGAGUACGACGGAGCACGUGAAAUUCCGUCGGAAUCUGGGAGGACCAUCUCCUAAGGCUAAAUACUCUCUAGUGACCGAUAGUGAACCAGUACCGUGAGGGAAAGGUGAAAAGCACCCCGGAAGGGGAGUGAAAUAGAACCUGAAACCGUGUGCUUACAAGUAGUCAGAGCCCGUUAAUGGGUGAUGGCGUGCCUUUUGUAGAAUGAACCGGCGAGUUACGAUUUGAUGCAAGGUUAAGCAGUAAAUGUGGAGCCGUAGCGAAAGCGAGUCUGAAUAGGGCGUUUAGUAUUUGGUCGUAGACCCGAAACCAGGUGAUCUACCCUUGGUCAGGUUGAAGUUCAGGUAACACUGAAUGGAGGACCGAACCGACUUACGUUGAAAAGUGAGCGGAUGAACUGAGGGUAGCGGAGAAAUUCCAAUCGAACCUGGAGAUAGCUGGUUCUCUCCGAAAUAGCUUUAGGGCUAGCCUCAAGUGAUGAUUAUUGGAGGUAGAGCACUGUUUGGACGAGGGGCCCCUCUCGGGUUACCGAAUUCAGACAAACUCCGAAUGCCAAUUAAUUUAACUUGGGAGUCAGAACAUGGGUGAUAAGGUCCGUGUUCGAAAGGGAAACAGCCCAGACCACCAGCUAAGGUCCCAAAAUAUAUGUUAAGUGGAAAAGGAUGUGGCGUUGCCCAGACAACUAGGAUGUUGGCUUAGAAGCAGCCAUCAUUUAAAGAGUGCGUAAUAGCUCACUAGUCGAGUGACACUGCGCCGAAAAUGUACCGGGGCUAAACAUAUUACCGAAGCUGUGGAUUGUCCUUUGGACAAUGGUAGGAGAGCGUUCUAAGGGCGUUGAAGCAUGAUCGUAAGGACAUGUGGAGCGCUUAGAAGUGAGAAUGCCGGUGUGAGUAGCGAAAGACGGGUGAGAAUCCCGUCCACCGAUUGACUAAGGUUUCCAGAGGAAGGCUCGUCCGCUCUGGGUUAGUCGGGUCCUAAGCUGAGGCCGACAGGCGUAGGCGAUGGAUAACAGGUUGAUAUUCCUGUACCACCUAUAA
RNAcentral lists this ribosomal RNA (1168 nucleotides) under Staphylococcus aureus. RNAcentral describes it as "partial 23S ribosomal RNA". It matches the Rfam family "Bacterial large subunit ribosomal RNA", at positions 283 to 1453 of the family's 2925-position model. The record is from RNAcentral. Lineage: Bacteria; Bacillati; Bacillota; Bacilli; Caryophanales; Staphylococcaceae.